AAGCUGCAUGGACCAGGACUUGGCACCUUUGGCCAUAGUCCUGCCUGUAGGCUUA
This is a microRNA precursor of Gorilla gorilla gorilla (western lowland gorilla), 55 nucleotides long. NCBI's taxonomy places the organism in Eukaryota, Metazoa, Chordata, Mammalia, Primates, Hominidae. The record is from Ensembl.